This is a long non-coding RNA of Dendronephthya gigantea, 321 nucleotides long. RefSeq lists it as uncharacterized. NCBI's taxonomy places the organism in Eukaryota, Metazoa, Cnidaria, Anthozoa, Malacalcyonacea, Nephtheidae. The record is from RefSeq and is a predicted model, not a curated record. The transcript has 3 exons.
AGAAGAGGACGCUGGUAAUACUUUCAAUACAAGUUUCAAACUGCCAACUGCGAAGCAAGGAACUAUGGAAGCUUUAUCAACAAAGAUGUAUCGUGGAGUGUGUACGAUACACAAGUACAGAUCGGCGCUCGAUUAUAGCCUGAUUAUAGACCGAUAUUGCAUCGUAGAAUAUUACAACUUGAUGUGAACCAGGCCUAACUUAUUGACAAGCCAUGGACAAGAGACAUGUUCAAGUUAGCAUACAAUGCUUUUGGAAGUUAAUGCACAUAUGCUGAAUUUUAAAUUUAUCGCAUGAUCACCCGACCGGUAUUAGAACAUAUC